Molecule: ribosomal RNA, 253 nt
Filed under: uncultured bacterium
Lineage: Bacteria
Description: partial 16S ribosomal RNA
Rfam family: Bacterial small subunit ribosomal RNA
Source: RNAcentral
UACGAAGGGGGCAAGCGUUGUUCGGAUUUACUGGGCGUAAAGGGCGCGUAGGCGGAUGUUCAAGUCAGAGGUGAAAGCCCUGGGCUCAACCCGGGAAUUGCCUUUGAAACUGGACGUCUUGAGUAUGGGAGAGGGUGGCGGAAUACCCAGUGUAGAGGUGAAAUUCGUAGAUAUUGGGUAGAACACCAGUGGCGAAGGCGGCCACCUGGCCCAUAACUGACGCUGAGGCGCGAAAGCGUGGGGAGCAAACAGG